AGUGAACGCUGGCGGCAGGCCUAACACAUGCAAGUCGAGCGGCAGCGGGUCCUUCGGGAUGCCGGCGAGCGGCGGACGGGUGAGGAAUGCAUCGGAAUCUGCCCUGUCGUGGGGGAUAACCUAGGGAAACUUAGGCUAAUACCGCAUACGACCCACGGGUGAAAGCGGGGGAUCGCAAGACCUCGCGCGAUAGGAUGAGCCGAUGUCCGAUUAGCUAGUUGGCGGGGUAAAGGCCCACCAAGGCGACGAUCGGUAGCUGGUCUGAGAGGAUGAUCAGCCACACUGGGACUGAGACACGGCCCAGACUCCUACGGGAGGCAGCAGUGGGGAAUAUUGGACAAUGGGCGCAAGCCUGAUCCAGCCAUGCCGCGUGGGUGAAGAAGGCCUUCGGGUUGUAAAGCCCUUUUGUCCGGGAAGAAAUCGUCUGGACUAAUACCCCGGGCGGAUGACGGUACCGGAAGAAUAAGCACCGGCUAACUUCGUG
RNAcentral lists this ribosomal RNA (484 nucleotides) under uncultured bacterium. RNAcentral's name for it is "partial 16S ribosomal RNA". It matches the Rfam family "Bacterial small subunit ribosomal RNA", at positions 30 to 507 of the family's 1533-position model. The record is from RNAcentral.